Molecule: ribosomal RNA, 492 nt
Filed under: uncultured bacterium
Lineage: Bacteria
Description: partial 16S ribosomal RNA
Rfam family: Bacterial small subunit ribosomal RNA
Source: RNAcentral
AGUGAACGCUGGCGGUAGGCCUAACACAUGCAAGUCGAACGGCAGCACAGUAAGAGCUUGCUCUUACGGGUGGCGAGUGGCGGACGGGUGAGGAAUACAUCGGAAUCUACUUUUUCGUGGGGGAUAACGUAGGGAAACUUACGCUAAUACCGCAUACGACCUACGGGUGAAAGCAGGGGAUCUUCGGACCUUGCGCGAUUGAAUGAGCCGAUGUCGGAUUAGCUAGUUGGCGGGGUAAGGGCCCACCAAGGCGACGAUCCGUAGCUGGUCUGAGAGGAUGAUCAGCCACACUGGAACUGAGACACGGUCCAGACUCCUACGGGAGGCAGCAGUGGGGAAUAUUGGACAAUGGGCGCAAGCCUGAUCCAGCCAUACCGCGUGGGUGAAGAAGGCCUUCGGGUUGUAAAGCCCUUUUGUUGGGAAAGAAAAGCAGCAGGUUAAUACCCCGCUGUUCUGACGGUACCCAAAGAAUAGGCACCGGCUAACUUCGUG